UCGAAACAACUAGAUCCAUACAGUUCUUAAUUCCUCGGUUAAAAUCCGAGUUGGAGAGGUCCUGUCCUCAAUCACUGAUCGUGCAUUCAAUACAUAAUAGCCUAUGAUCUAGCAGGAUCAAACACACACCACAUCCUAUCCUCUCUUGGCCCUCCUUAAUCACGGACGAUCCUGCAAUACAUAGAGGCUAAAAACAGAGGUGAUGAUUCAAGACUCGACCUCUCUAAUUAAAUCAUGAAUUAAUUAGGGAAGAUCCAAAAUCAAAUAACCAUGCCAUUGAUCAUUAUUUAUCAAAGACAAUCUAAUAAAUAUCUGUGGAGCAUCUCCAAACCUGAGUUCUCUCAAAUUACGGAACAUGCGUCACCACUUCGAUCGGGGGUCCCAAGCGGUUGAAGCAGCCCGAUCUCAUCCGGAGGCGGAACCGCAAGCGAACCGCGC
RNAcentral lists this long non-coding RNA (438 nucleotides) under Elaeis guineensis (African oil palm). RNAcentral describes it as "long non-coding RNA (EGUI_LNC001955)". The record is from RNAcentral. Lineage: Eukaryota; Viridiplantae; Streptophyta; Magnoliopsida; Arecales; Arecaceae.